UUAAAGGAAUUGACGGAAGGGCACCACCAGGAAUGGAGCCUGCGGCUUAAUUUGACUCAACACGGGAAAACUUACCCGGCCCGGACACAGGAAGGAUUGACAGAUUAAGAGCUCUUUCUUGAUUCUGUGGGUGGUGGUGCAUGGCCAUUCUUAGUUGGUGGAGCGAUUUGUCUGGUUAAUUCCGAUAACGAACGAGACUCUAGCCUACUAAAUAGACGUUCCGAUCUUCUACGUCGGACGUUCUUCUUAGAGGGACAAGCGGCGUUCAGCCGCACGAGACAGAGCAAUAACAGGUCUGAGAUGCCCUUAGAUGUCCGGGGCCGCACGCGCGCUACAUUGAAGGAAUCAGCGUGUGCUUUCCCUGUCCGACAGGACUGGGUAACCCGUUGAACCUCCUUCGUGCUUGGGAUAGGAACUUGUAAUUGUUUUCCUUGAACGAGGAAUUCCCAGUAAGCGCGAGUCAUAAGCUCGUGUUGAUUACGUCCCUGCCCUUUGUACACACCGCCCGUCGCUACUACCGAUUGAAUGAUUUAGUGAGGUCUUCGGACUGUUUCCCAAUGCCGCUUUCGGGUGGCGCUGGCGUGACGGAAAGAUGACCAAACUUGAUCAUUUAGAGGAAGUAAAAGUCGUAACAAGGUUUCCGUA
RNAcentral lists this ribosomal RNA (645 nucleotides) under Henriksenia nepenthicola. RNAcentral's name for it is "SSU rRNA". It matches the Rfam family "Eukaryotic small subunit ribosomal RNA", at positions 1144 to 1807 of the family's 1831-position model. The record is from RNAcentral. Lineage: Eukaryota; Metazoa; Arthropoda; Arachnida; Araneae; Thomisidae.